GGCCGGACAGCUCAGUCGGUUAGAGCGUGGUGCUAAUAACGCUAAGGUCGCUGGGUUCGACCCCCACUCUGGACA
RNAcentral lists this transfer RNA (75 nucleotides) under Trichuris suis (pig whipworm). It matches the Rfam family "tRNA". From Rfam's summary of the family: Transfer RNA (tRNA) molecules are approximately 80 nucleotides in length. Their secondary structure includes four short double-helical elements and three loops (D, anti-codon, and T loops). The record is from Rfam by way of RNAcentral. Lineage: Eukaryota; Metazoa; Nematoda; Enoplea; Trichinellida; Trichuridae.